RNAcentral lists this ribosomal RNA (205 nucleotides) under uncultured bacterium. Its description in RNAcentral is "partial 16S ribosomal RNA". It matches the Rfam family "Bacterial small subunit ribosomal RNA", at positions 524 to 726 of the family's 1533-position model. The record is from RNAcentral.
UACGUAGGGUGCAAGCGUUGUCCGGAAUUAUUGGGCGUAAAGAGCUCGUAGGCGGUCUGUCGCGUCGGCUGUGAAAACCCGGAGCUCAACUCCGGGCCUGCAGUCGAUACGGGCAAACUAGAGUACUGCAGGGGAGACUGGAAUUCCUGGUGUAGCGGUGAAAUGCGCAGAUAUCAGGAGGAACACCCGGGUGGCGAAGGCGGGU